GAUUGAACGCUGGCGGCAGGCUUAACACAUGCAAGUCGAACGGUAGCAGGGAAGUGCUUGCACUUUUGCUGACGAGUGGCGGACGGGUGAGUAAUGCUUGGGAAUCUGGCUUAUGGAGGGGGAUAACUGUGGGAAACUGCAGCUAAUACCGCGUAUAAUCGGGAGAUGAAAGACUGGGAGCGAAAGUCCAGUUGCCAUAAGAUGAGCCCAAGUGGGAUUAGGUAGUUGGUGGGGUAAAGGCCUACCAAGCCGUCGAUCUCUAGCUGGUCUGAGAGGAUGGCCAGCCACACUGGGACUGAGACACGGCCCAGACUCCUACGGGAGGCAGCAGUGGGGAAUAUUGCGCAAUGGGGGGAACCCUGACGCAGCCAUGCCGCGUGAAUGAAGAAGGCCUUCGGGUUGUAAAGUUCUUUCGGUGGUGAGGAAGGCGAUUAGUUUAAUAGGCUAAUUGAUUGACGUUAACCACAGAAGAAGCACCGGCUAACUCCGU
This 490-nucleotide ribosomal RNA is filed under the name Pasteurellales bacterium 'ARUP UnID 519'. RNAcentral's name for it is "bacterial SSU rRNA". It matches the Rfam family "Bacterial small subunit ribosomal RNA", at positions 27 to 506 of the family's 1533-position model. Lineage: Bacteria; Pseudomonadati; Pseudomonadota; Gammaproteobacteria; Pasteurellales. The record is from RNAcentral.